GGUAUGCCCCAGAGUGUCUGAAGGAGUGUAAGUUCUACUAUGCGUCUGACGUCUGGUCCUUUGGGGUCACCCUCUAUGAGCUGCUGACAUACUGUGACUCCAGCCAGAGCCCCCCCUCGAAAUUUAUUGAGCUCAUAGGCCUUACCCAGGGUGAGAUGAUGGUGCUGAAACUCACAAGGCUGCUGGAACGAGGGGAGAGGCUGCCGCGGCCCAACAGAUGUCCCCAGGAGAUCUACCUUCUCAUGAAGAACUGCUGGGAGACAGAGGCUUCCUUCCGGCCGACCUUCCAGAACCUCGUGCCCAUCCUCAAGACGGCCCAGGAGAAGUACCAGGGCCAGGCCCCGUCGGUGUUCAGCGUGUGCUGAGAC
Carlito syrichta (Philippine tarsier) is the source of this 368-nucleotide long non-coding RNA. RefSeq lists it as uncharacterized. The record is from RefSeq and is a predicted model, not a curated record. Lineage: Eukaryota; Metazoa; Chordata; Mammalia; Primates; Tarsiidae. The transcript is spliced from 3 exons.